This 253-nucleotide ribosomal RNA is filed under the name uncultured bacterium. Its description in RNAcentral is "partial 16S ribosomal RNA". It matches the Rfam family "Bacterial small subunit ribosomal RNA", at positions 524 to 776 of the family's 1533-position model. The record is from RNAcentral.
UACGGGGGGGGUAAGCGUUGUUCGGAAUUACUGGGCGUAAAGGGCUCGUAGGCGGCCAACUAAGUCAUACGUGAAAUCCCUCAGCUUAACUGGGGAACUGCGUGUGAUACUGGAUGGCUUGAAUUCGGGAGAGGGAUGCAGAAUUCCAGGUGUAGCGGUGAAAUGCGUAGAUAUCUGGAGGAAUACCGGUGGCGAAGGCGGCAUCCUGGACCGACAUUGACGCUGAUGAGCGAAAGCUAGGGGAGCAAACGGG